GACGAACGCUGGCGGCGUGCCUAAUACAUGCAAGUCGAGCGAGUCUGCCUUGAAGAUCGGAGUGCUUGCACUCUGUGAAACAAGAUACAGGCUAGCGGCGGACGGGUGAGUAACACGUGGGUAACCUGCCCAAGAGAUCGGGAUAACACCUGGAAACAGAUGCUAAUACCGGAUAACAACAGAUGAUGCCUAUCAACUGUUUAAAAGAUGGUUCUGCUAUCACUCUUGGAUGGACCUGCGGUGCAUUAGCUAGUUGGUAGGGUAACGGCCUACCAAGGCGAUGAUGCAUAGCCGAGUUGAGAGACUGAUCGGCCACAUUGGGACUGAGACACGGCCCAAACUCCUACGGGAGGCAGCAGUAGGGAAUCUUCCACAAUGGACGCAAGCCUGAUGGAGCAACGCCGCGUGAGUGAAGAAGGGUUUCGGCUCGUAAAGCUCUGUUGUUGGUGAAGAAGGACAGGGGUAGUAACUGACCUUUGUUUGACGGUAAUCAAUUAGAAAGUCACGGCUAACUAAGUG
RNAcentral lists this ribosomal RNA (519 nucleotides) under uncultured bacterium. Its description in RNAcentral is "partial 16S ribosomal RNA". It matches the Rfam family "Bacterial small subunit ribosomal RNA", at positions 28 to 507 of the family's 1533-position model. The record is from RNAcentral.